This 683-nucleotide unclassified non-coding RNA is filed under the name Hevea brasiliensis (rubber tree). The record is from RNAcentral. Lineage: Eukaryota; Viridiplantae; Streptophyta; Magnoliopsida; Malpighiales; Euphorbiaceae.
AUCAUCACUUGGAGAACCAAGAAGUUUCACAAAUAUUGGCACAGCACCAUGAUCGAUGACCACCUUAGUGUUUUCUGAUGUUCCCGAAGCAAUAUUUGUAAGAGCCCAAGCAGCUUCAAACUGAAGUUGUGGAAAAUCCUCUCUCAUUAGAAAUUCAACAAAACGAGGAACAACUCCUGCCUGUAUAACUUCUUCAAUUGGGGGACUACGCUCAAUUGAAAGCAGUUUCCUAAACUGAGUAGUCGACUCAAGUUGCAGACUGCCAUCAUCAGACCAAACACCCGCAACCAUGGAUGGAAGAUGUUCCAACUUCUUUUCAACUACCGAUGAGUGAGUUGAAGUUUGGAGUUGCUGGGCUUGAAGACCCUCACGCCUCUUCUUCUGCAGGCUUUCCUCUCUACGAUUCUUCCGAAUCUCGACCAUGUUGUCCUCCCUUCUUCUCCGACCUUCAUCGGCAUCCACCGCAACCUUGUACCGGUUCCGCCGAACCUCAGCCCUCUCGUUCGGUCUGAGCGACAUGAUUUGAAUACCAAAGAGACGAACUCAAACCCCGAUUAGUAGAGGAAAUCUACGAUGUUCCGAUAAGGAUUGAGGGAUUUGGUUCGCCGGAGAAGAAGAGAGGGAGAAUUUGGUACGAAGCUUUUUGAUUUGAGUUUUGAGUUUCACAGUGGAAGAGAGAGAGA